UCGAGAAUCUUCCGCAAUGGGCGAAAGCCUGACGGAGCGACACCGCGUGCAGGACGAAGGCCCUCGGGUUGUAAACUGCUGUCACGCUCUAGGAAUCCCAUGUCGUUAAUAGCGGCAUGGUUGACCAAGGCGAAAGGAAGUGGCGGCUAACUCUGUGCCAGCAGCCGCGGUAAGACAGAGGCCACGAACGUUGUUCGGAAUCACUGGGCAUAAAGCGCACGUAGGCGGCUAGGUCCGUCCGAUGUGAAAGCCCCCGGCUCAACCGGGGAAUUGCAUCGGAUACAGCCUGGCUUGAGGACGGUUGGGGUGAGUGGAACUCCUGGUGGAGCGGUGAAAUGCGUAGAUAUCUGGAGGAACACCGGUGGCGAAGGCGACAUCCUGGACCAAUUCUGACGCUGAGGAGCGAAAGCCAGGGGAGCAAACGGGAUUAGAUACCCCGGUAGUCCCUGAGCGGGCUGGCAAGGCGCAU
Molecule: ribosomal RNA, 469 nt
Filed under: uncultured bacterium
Lineage: Bacteria
Description: bacterial SSU rRNA
Rfam family: Bacterial small subunit ribosomal RNA
Source: RNAcentral